AGAGUUUGAUCAUGGCUCAGAUUGAACGCUGGCGGCAGGCCUAACACAUGCAAGUCGAGCGGUAGCACAGAGAGCUUGCUCUCGGGUGACGAGCGGCGGACGGGUGAGUAAUGUCUGGGAAACUGCCUGAUGGAGGGGAUAACUACUGGAAACGGUAGCUAAUACCGCAUAACGUCGCAAGACCAAAGUGGGGGACCUUCGGGCCUCAUGCCAUCAGAUGUGCCCAGAUGGGAUUAGCUAGUAGGUGGGGUAAUGGCUCACCUAGGCGACGAUCCCUAGCUGGUCUGAGAGGAUGACCAGCCACACUGGAACUGAGACACGGUCCAGACUCCUACGGGAGGCAGCAGUGGGGAAUAUUGCACAAUGGGCGCAAGCCUGAUGCAGCCAUGCCGCGUGUGUGAAGAAGGCCUUCGGGUUGUAAAGCACUUUCAGCGGGGAGGAAGGCGUUAAGGUUAAUAACCUUGGCGAUUGACGUUACCCGCAGAAGAAGCACCGGCUAACUCCGUGCCAGCAGCCGCGGUAAUACGGAGGGUGCAAGCGUUAAUCGGAAUUACUGGGCGUAAAGCGCACGCAGGCGGUCUGUCAAGUCGGAUGUGAAAUCCCCGGGCUCAACCUGGGAACUGCAUUCGAAACUGGCAGGCUAGAGUCUUGUAGAGGGGGGUAGAAUUCCAGGUGUAGCGGUGAAAUGCGUAGAGAUCUGGAGGAAUACCGGUGGCGAAGGCGGCCCCCUGGACAAAGACUGACGCUCAGGUGCGAAAGCGUGGGGAGCAAACAGGAUUAGAUACCCUGGUAGUCCACGCCGUAAACGAUGUCGAUUUGGAGGUUGUGCCCUUGAGGCGUGGCUUCCGGAGCUAACGCGUUAAAUCGACCGCCUGGGGAGUACGGCCGCAAGGUUAAAACUCAAAUGAAUUGACGGGGGCCCGCACAAGCGGUGGAGCAUGUGGUUUAAUUCGAUGCAACGCGAAGAACCUUACCUGGUCUUGACAUCCACAGAACUUUCCAGAGAUGGAUUGGUGCCUUCGGGAACUGUGAGACAGGUGCUGCAUGGCUGUCGUCAGCUCGUGUUGUGAAAUGUUGGGUUAAGUCCCGCAACGAGCGCAACCCUUAUCCUUUGUUGCCAGCGGUCCGGCCGGGAACUCAAAGGAGACUGCCAGUGAUAAACUGGAGGAAGGUGGGGAUGACGUCAAGUCAUCAUGGCCCUUACGACCAGGGCUACACACGUGCUACAAUGGCAUAUACAAAGAGAAGCGACCUCGCGAGAGCAAGCGGACCUCAUAAAGUAUGUCGUAGUCCGGAUUGGAGUCUGCAACUCGACUCCAUGAAGUCGGAAUCGCUAGUAAUCGUAGAUCAGAAUGCUACGGUGAAUACGUUCCCGGGCCUUGUACACACCGCCCGUCACACCAUGGGAGUGGGUUGCAAAAGAAGUAGGUAGCUUAACCUUCGGGAGGGCGCUUACCACUUUGUGAUUCAUGACUGGGGUGAAGUCGUAACAAGGUAACCGUAGGGGAACCUGCGGUUGGAUCACCU
Molecule: ribosomal RNA, 1527 nt
Filed under: Klebsiella pneumoniae
Lineage: Bacteria; Pseudomonadati; Pseudomonadota; Gammaproteobacteria; Enterobacterales; Enterobacteriaceae
Description: bacterial SSU rRNA
Rfam family: Bacterial small subunit ribosomal RNA
Source: RNAcentral